UUUUCGCAAACCCUAAAGCAGCGGCAACAAAUCCUACUUGAACCCGCAGCGGCGGCGGCGGCGGCUGCGACAGAGAUCUUGGCUUCUCCCUCUUCGUCUUCUUCGAACCAACGACGACAGUCUUCUCCCUCUUCGUCUUCUUCAAACCGGCAGCAACCACAGUCCACAGACUUCUCCCGCUUCGCCUUCUUCAUCGACGGCGACAAACGUCUCCUGCUUCGCCUUCUUCAUCGACGGCGACAAACUUCUCCUGCUUCGUCUUCUUCAAAUCUGUGGCGACAGCAAGCUUCUCCACCUCGGUUGGAGUCCAACCUCAAGAGGAUCUUGCUUCGGGUAAAAAAAAAGAAGGCAAACACGCAACUGUAGAGUAUCUCCAGUCGAGAAAUAUCACAAACAAGCCUCAGAGAAACUCACUUCUCACAUCCAAGAAGCCUUUGCAACUUCAUAAUGCAACGCAAGCAGAUGAAGAAGAGUCUCACUCUUUUGCUUUAGCUACACCAUCUGUAAGAACUUUGAGAGGCAAAACAACUGUAGCAACUGCCCCUAGUUUCAGAUGCAGUGAGCGUGCAGACACUUGUGGAGAGGAGGUACCAUCUCAGCUGAAGGACUCACUGUGCUAAAACUUGUGGACAAUAUCAUCAUCACCGUGUCAAUGUUGUGACAUGAAAUGCAUUUUGGAUUUUAAUUUACCUCACAAAAAUUUCAAACUGUAUCUAGAUGGUGUGACAUUUGCGGAGCCUUUGAGACCAA
Molecule: long non-coding RNA, 750 nt
Organism: Zingiber officinale
Lineage: Eukaryota; Viridiplantae; Streptophyta; Magnoliopsida; Zingiberales; Zingiberaceae
Exons: 4
Source: RefSeq, a predicted model, not a curated record